RNAcentral lists this ribosomal RNA (253 nucleotides) under uncultured bacterium. RNAcentral's name for it is "partial 16S ribosomal RNA". It matches the Rfam family "Bacterial small subunit ribosomal RNA", at positions 524 to 776 of the family's 1533-position model. The record is from RNAcentral.
UACGAAGGGGGCUAGCGUUGCUCGGAAUCACUGGGCGUAAAGGGUGCGUAGGCGGGUUUUUAAGUCAGAGGUGAAAUCCUGGAGCUCAACUCCAGAACUGCCUUUGAUACUGGCGAUCUUGAGUUCGGGAGAGGUGAGUGGAACUGCGAGUGUAGAGGUGAAAUUCGUAGAUAUUCGCAAGAACACCAGUGGCGAAGGCGGCUCACUGGCCCGAUACUGACGCUGAGGUGCGAAAGCGUGGGGAGCAAACAGG